RNAcentral lists this ribosomal RNA (253 nucleotides) under uncultured bacterium. Its description in RNAcentral is "partial 16S ribosomal RNA". It matches the Rfam family "Bacterial small subunit ribosomal RNA", at positions 524 to 776 of the family's 1533-position model. The record is from RNAcentral.
UACGAGGGGGGCAAAUGUUGUUCGGAAUCACUGGGCGUAAAGGGAGCGUAGGCGGGUUCUUAAGUUAGGUGUUUAAUCCCGGGGCCCAACCCCGGACCGGCACUUAAAACUGGGAAUCUUGAAUAGUGGAGAGGUCAGUGGAAUUGGGGGUGUAGCGGUGGAAUGCGUAGAGAUCCCCAAGAACACCAGUUGCGAAGGCGGCUGACUGGACCGUUGUUGACGCUGAGGUGCGAAAGCGUGGGGAGCAAACAGG